UGGGGAAUAUUGCACAAUGGGCGAAAGCCUGAUGCAGCAACGCCGCGUGCGGGAUGACGGCCUUCGGGUUGUAAACCGCUUUCAGCAGGGACGAAGGUUUUCUGACGGUACCUGCAGAAGAAGCACCGGCUAACUACGUGCCAGCAGCCGCGGUGAUACGUAGGGUGCGAGCGUUGUCCGGAAUUAUUGGGCGUAAAGAGCUUGUAGGCGGUCCGUUGCGUCGGAAGUGAAAACUCAGGGCUUAACCCCUGAGCCUGCUUUCGAUACGGGCGGACUUGAGGGAUGUAGGGGAGAACGGAAUUCCUGGUGGAGCGGUGGAAUGCGCAGAUAUCAGGAGGAACACCAGUGGCGAAGGCGGUUCUCUGGACAUUUCCUGACGCUGAGAAGCGAAAGCGUGGGGGAGCAAACAGGCUUAGAUACCCUGGUAGUCCACGCCGUAAACGGUGGGCACUAGGUGUGGGACCCAUUCCAC
This 472-nucleotide ribosomal RNA is filed under the name uncultured bacterium. RNAcentral describes it as "partial 16S ribosomal RNA". It matches the Rfam family "Bacterial small subunit ribosomal RNA", at positions 355 to 844 of the family's 1533-position model. The record is from RNAcentral.